UGCUUCGAUAGUUUAUAAUAAGAACACGCCAUUGAAGCUGGCGAGGAAACUUUUUAAGUUUCAAAGU
RNAcentral lists this transfer RNA (67 nucleotides) under Lutraria rhynchaena. RNAcentral's name for it is "tRNA-Phe". Lineage: Eukaryota; Metazoa; Mollusca; Bivalvia; Venerida; Mactridae. The record is from RNAcentral.